ACAGCAGCAGCCACGGUAAUACGUAGGGUGCAAGCGUUAAUCGGAAUUACUGGGCGUAAAGCGUGCGUAGGCGGCUUCUUAAGUCGGAUGUGAAAUCCCUGAGCUUAACUUAGGAAUUGCAUUCGAUACUGGGAAGCUAGAGUAUGGGAGAGGAUGGUAGAAUUCCAGGUGUAGCGGUGAAAUGCGUAGAGAUCUGGAGGAAUACCGAUGGCGAAGGCAGCCAUCUGGCCUAAUACUGACGCUGAGGUACGAAAGCAUGGGGAGCAAACAGGAUUAGAUACCCCUGUAGUCCCUGUCUCUUAUAU
Molecule: ribosomal RNA, 305 nt
Filed under: uncultured bacterium
Lineage: Bacteria
Description: partial 16S ribosomal RNA
Rfam family: Bacterial small subunit ribosomal RNA
Source: RNAcentral